AACGAACGCUGGCGGCAGGCUUAACACAUGCAAGCCGAACGCCCCGCAAGGGGAGUGGCAGACGGGUGAGUAACGCGUGGGAAUCUACCGUGCCCUGCGGAAUAGCUCCGGGAAACUGAAAUUAAUACCGCAUACGCCCUACGGGGGAAAGAUUUAUCGGGGUAUGAUGAGCCCGCGUUGGAUUAGCUAGUUGGUGGGGUAAAGGCCUACCAAGGCGACGAUCCAUAGCUGGUCUGAGAGGAUGAUCAGCCACAUUGGGACUGAGACACGGCCCAAACUCCUACGGGAGGCAGCAGUGGGGAAUAUUGGACAAUGGGCGCAAGCCUGAUCCAGCCAUGCCGCGUGAGUGAUGAAGGCCUUAGGGUUGUAAAGCUCUUUCACCGAUGAAGAUAAUGACGGUAGUCGGAGAAGAAGCCCCGGCUAACUUCGUGCCAGCAGCCGCCGUAA
Molecule: ribosomal RNA, 447 nt
Filed under: uncultured bacterium
Lineage: Bacteria
Description: partial 16S ribosomal RNA
Rfam family: Bacterial small subunit ribosomal RNA
Source: RNAcentral